Molecule: transfer RNA, 71 nt
Filed under: Icosteus aenigmaticus
Lineage: Eukaryota; Metazoa; Chordata; Actinopteri; Scombriformes; Icosteidae
Description: tRNA-Gly
Source: RNAcentral
UCUAGUAUCAGCUCCAGUAUAAGUGACUUCCAAUCACCAGGUCUUGGUUAAAACCCAAGGAAAGAUAAUGA